RNAcentral lists this ribosomal RNA (838 nucleotides) under uncultured bacterium. Its description in RNAcentral is "bacterial SSU rRNA". It matches the Rfam family "Bacterial small subunit ribosomal RNA", at positions 8 to 817 of the family's 1533-position model. The record is from RNAcentral.
AGAGUUUGAUCAUGGCUCAGAAUGAACGCUGGCGGCGUGCUUAACACAUGCAAGUCGCACGAGAACUCUUCUGCUUGCAGAAGAUAGUAAAGUGGCGCACGGGUGAGUAACGCGUGGGUAAUCUACCUCUGAAUUGGGGAUAACAUUGUGAAAGCGAUGCUAAUACCGAAUAAUAUCCCGAGAACUUAGGCUUUUGGGAUCAAAGGUGGCCUCUACAUGUAAGCUACUGUUUAGAGAUGAGCCCGCGUACCAUUAGCUUGUUGGUAGGGUAAUGGCCUACCAAGGCAACGAUGGUUAGCUGGUCUGAGAGGAUGAUCAGCCACACUGGAACUGACACACGGUCCAGACUCCUACGGGAGGCAGCAGUGAGGAAUUUUGCGCAAUGGGGGAAACCCUGACGCAGCAACGCCGCGUGAGUGAUGAAGGCUUUCGAGUCGUAAAGCUCUGUCAAGUGAGAAGAACCUACUUUUUGUUAAUACCAUUAAGUACUGACGGUAUCACUGAAGGAAGCACCGGCUAACUCCGUGCCAGCAGCCGCGGUAAUACGGAGGGUGCAAGCGUUAUUCGGAAUUAUUGGGCGUAAAGGGCGCGUAGGCGGUCUUUUAAGUCAGAUGUGAAAGCCCGGGGCUCAACCCUGGAAGUGCAUUUGAAACUAAUGGACUUGAGUAUGGGAGAGGGAAGUGGAAUUCCUGGUGUAGAGGUGAAAUUCGUAGAUAUCAGGGGGAACACCGGUGGCGAAAGGNNACUUCCUGGNCCAAUACUGACGCUGAGGCGCGAAGGCGUGGGGAGCAAACAGGAUUAGAUACCCUGGUAGUCCACGCAGUAAACGGUGAACACU